This 527-nucleotide long non-coding RNA is filed under the name Homo sapiens (human). Its description in RNAcentral is "HSALNT0396263". The record is from RNAcentral. Lineage: Eukaryota; Metazoa; Chordata; Mammalia; Primates; Hominidae.
GCAGAUUCAUCUCUAACUCCCAAAGCCCCAGGUAACUCCUUUAAAGCUCAGAACCACUCUAGGAGGCAGGGGCUGUGUUGAUGCCCAUUCUACAGAUAGAGAAACUGAGGCUUGGAGCCCAGAAAAGGAUCAGGAGGAAUCCAAUAAACAGAAGAGGUUGGGGAAGGAGGAAUUGAGGGAUUGAGGUCCUCAGGGCCCUGGGCAGGGUUCCUUUGUGCCCCAUCCCCUCUGCAUGGGCUGAGCUGGGUUCUCUACUCCCACCGUGAGGCUACAGGGCCCAGCUGCCUCCAUCUGGGGCCUUGGAAGUUGCCCAAACAGAAGCCGGGAGAGAAGCUGCUGUUCUGGUUUGAGUUCCUUCUGGUUUGCAUUCUCUGGGCUGAGCCCUAAGUAGUCAGUUUCCUGCAUUGAGAUCCUGGGGUGGGGGGUGGUGGGGCAGUCACCCCUUCUUUAGGCUUCCUCCUAAGGACCCCGAGACAAUUCCCCAGACCCACUAGUGUCUUACCAGAAUUUAAUAAUCAUCAUAAUUU